This 621-nucleotide ribosomal RNA is filed under the name uncultured fungus. RNAcentral's name for it is "eukaryotic LSU rRNA". It matches the Rfam family "Eukaryotic large subunit ribosomal RNA", at positions 24 to 664 of the family's 3401-position model. Lineage: Eukaryota; Fungi. The record is from RNAcentral.
CCCGCUGAACUUAAGCAUAUCAAUAAGCGGAGGAAAAGAAACCAACAGGGAUUGCCUCAGUAACGGCGAGUGAAGCGGCAAUAGCUCAAAUUUGAAAUCUGGCCUCUGGCCCGAAUUGUAAUUUGUAGAGGAUGCUUCGAGGAUGGUCCAGUCUAAGUUCCUUGGAACAGGACGUCAUAGAGGGUGAGAAUCCCGUAUGCGACUGGGUGCCUAAGCUCAUGUGAAGCUCCUUCGACGAGUCGAGUUGUUUGGGAAUGCAGCUCAAAAUGGGUGGUAAAUUUCAUCUAAAGCUAAAUACUGGCCAGAGACCGAUAGCGCACAAGUAGAGUGAUCGAAAGAUGAAAAGCACUUUGGAAAGAGAGUUAAACAGUACGUGAAAUUGUUGAAAGGGAAGCGCUUGCAACUAGACUUGCAUGCAGUCGAUCAUCCGAUGUUCUCACCGGUGCACUCGAUUGCAUUCAGGCCAGCAUCGGUUUCGGUGGUUAGAUAAAGGCCUUGGGAAUGUAGCUUCUCUCGGGGAGUGUUAUAGCCCAAGGUGCAAUGUAGCCUACCGGGACCGAGGACCGCGCUUCGGCUAGGAUGCUGGCGUAAUGGUUGUAAGCGACCCGUCUUGAAACACGG